Long non-coding RNA from Phyllostomus discolor (pale spear-nosed bat), 1111 nucleotides. RefSeq lists it as uncharacterized. Lineage: Eukaryota; Metazoa; Chordata; Mammalia; Chiroptera; Phyllostomidae. The transcript has 2 exons. The record is from RefSeq and is a predicted model, not a curated record.
GGACACAAUCAGUAGCCAAACUGAUGCUGGGAGUGGACAGCACAAUUCUAUAUACCCAAUUCCUCCCCAACCCAACCACAAAUAUUCAGGAGUUGACUACAUGGAAGAAUCUGCGUUUGACACAUUCCAUCAGACAUAUAUGGCUAGUCCACUCUGACAGAUUGUGGGGUUAUAAGAUGAAGACCCAAGCCUCUGCCCCUUAAAAGGAACCACUAGUGGAAAAGUUUAUAUACAUUGUUUGAAUGAAAAACAAGUUUCAUAAUUAAGGUCAGGUGUCUUGAAGUUCUGAUCCAAAAUGCACUAUGGGUGGUUAUGGAGGAGUAACAAGGAAUUGGCUAUGACUAAGGCAAUCCAUAAAGCAUACUGAAUUAAGAAGGAAACCUUAAGAGUUGAGAACAUACCCCCAGGAAGUGGAAGAAAGAGUGGAAAUGACAAGAAUCCUCUUGGAGUAGAAUGUGCCAACGCCUAAUUUUGGGAACACUGGCUGUUAAGUAUUCAGAUUUUAAGUGCAGUUUUGCUAAUUCCCUGAAGGGCUGGUGAAUUAUAGGACUCCCACAUCAUUUCUGAGUAAUCAGAAUUGCCAAAUGAAACCAAAUGAACUUUCCCAGGCUCAGAGACUCGGUUUUCAGUGUGACUUCAGAGGCUGUACAGUCCAACUCUCGCCCAAUGCAGCACUAACUCAGGAUACAGUCUUACCGAAAAAGAAGUCCACUGAUGACUGCUUUCUACUUUGCAUCAUGCACAUUUUAAGCAUAAUGCUUAAAAACAAAAACAAAACCUGAAGAGCCAGGCUGGUGAGGGAUCUGGAAAUCAGCCAAAGAACUGGGAUGUUAGUUUAGAGAAGAGAAAAUCUAGAAAUGUGGCCUCUGUACUUUGUAAUACUCACAGAGCUAUCAUAUCAAGGAGUAAUCAGAGACUACACUGUUAGGUCCUAGUGAAGAGACCUAGGAACAAAGAAUAAAAAUACAGAGAUGCAUUAUCUUAGCUUGUUAUGAAGAAGAAUUCUCAGUAAACAGAAUUUCCAACAAUAAACUCUGAGCAAAAAUUAUAUAAUAUUCAAGCUCUUCUCAGUAAAGAGAUUUGUGGAAUGAUUUGCUCUUUUGUUGUGAAU